GGUAACUACUUCCAACAGAUUUGCAACAUCAAGUCCCAAACUACAAAAACUAGCACAAGUUAGGUGUAGAUAGCAACCCUGCCAUACUCAAUGAGCGUGUUUAACUUUUGAAAGGUUAUUUUCAAUUUUUUCUUCUGGAAAGCUGUGUCUUAAUAACUGAAAUCAUUCUCUUUUCAGAAUAUUGGAAAACCUGAAAAUUUUAAAACAGAAGUUAAGAAGAUAACCAUUUUGAGCCACAGUGCUGUAGAGGGACCAAUUCAUCUGAGCAGUUGUUCAACAAAGUAGUGGUACUUGGGAGAUAAUCAGAUAAUUCUAGUUUUACACAUCUAGGAGAGGCCAAAGAAAGAUGCUCUAGCGUGUUGGGGCUUCAUAGGUAGCAGUGAUCCUGACCCUAUUCGAGAUUAAUGUAGGAUCUUAUUUCAAAUGUUCACAGCAAGGAGUGGUGUAGGGAAAAAUAAAUAGGACAUGAUUUACAUAAAACAAUUGCAUGGAUGAAAAGAAACUUGAUAAAUCUAAUGAACUUAGAACAAAUGCAAUGUAUGCCUACAUUUGCUUGUCAAGUACAUAUGUAUGUCCUAAGCAAAGAAAUUAUGCAGAAAAUGGACUAAAUGUAUCUCAUGCGUGAUGGAGUCGGGAAUAUUACUCUCGCGGUCUCACCUCAUAGGUUCACCACGUCGAGAUGAUGGAGCAUGACAUGAGAAGAAGAAAAUGUUCCAUUUGAGGUGGUUCCAUUCCAAGACAUAAUGAAAAUUAUCUGCAGCUCUGAAAAGAAGCAGCGACUCAGAUGAGAACAUAUUCCCAGUUCAGCAUUUUUCACCAAACAACGAGCAAAAGGGAAGAGGAUCCAACAAAAAUUUACUUAACUGAGAUAAAUAAAAUAAGUUCUGCUAAAAUUGGUUUGAAUGUGUCCACUUAAUCUGCAUAGUUUAGAGAAGCACUUUUGCAGAUACUACUAAUAGAAUGAUUCGUCUCGGAAAUUUGAGCAAUGACUAACAAGCAAAAGGGAAGAGGACCCAACAAAAAUUUACUAAACUGAGAUAAAUAAAAUAAGUUCUGCUAAAUUUGGUUUGAAUGUGUCCACUUAAUCUGCAUAGUUUAGAGAAGCACUUUUGCAGAUAGUACUAAUAGAAUGAUUUGUCUCGGAAAUUUGAGCAAUGACAGGUCUACAGAAAAAUAACCAAGUCAUUUGAUACAAGAGAAUAGAGCUGAGGUAACAAGCUAGCUGAUCAUUUGGCAGACUUAGUCUUCAAUGCGGAUGGGGAACUAAUAAUCAAUUCAUUUGUGGAGCUGGACACCAAAGGAAGGGCAUUUUGAAUUUGGAUAAGCUACAGUGGCCAUCGUUGAGAACCAAGGCAGUGAAGGGAAGAAAACAAUGACAUUCUAUAACGUGAAGACUGAAGAGUUUCAUUAGCAUAUGGUGGCGCAUGAUGGGGCAAUGGUUCUAUUCUGUGGAAUCGGAUACUUCAAGGUGGAAAGCAGCUUGCACAAAAUGAAAUCGUUGGCAGUGUGGACACUUCAUUUCUUUCGAGCAUUUUAUUAUUUUGUUCGAUGUGAGUUCAUCUUAGAAUAUUAAAUACAUGCAAAGAUGACAUUAGAUAGUUUCAUUAUUUCAUUAGACAUGGUUUGUUUUCAUUGUAAUAGUGUACACUCGUCCUGCACUCAAGUUGGAAUCUUUAUAAUUACUCAAAUUAGCCACUAGGUAACCUCCCUAGUGGUAGAUUAGCUUUAAAAAAGAGAGUCAAGGCUGAGGAAGUCUGUAAACUAUAGUUUAUUGUGUAUUAAGCUAAUAAAAGCAGUUCUCUCUCUAUCUAUCUCAUCGUAUUCGUUUGGUGAUUAAGCUUAGAAAAGGUAAAACAUAUGGCAAAAAAUUUGGGGCGGUUUAAAAUGGGUGAAGUAGAAGAAUCGGUCAUAACCUUAUCUUCCCGUAAGCAUAUUCAUUUAGUCUUUCCUGGACAACGGGAUCACCUUUGAAUUACAAUGUUAAUAGCUAAAAUUAGGAAGCUUUUUUCUUUUAGAGCAAUGCAAUGCAAUACAGUGAUACCAAACUCUCAAUAAAGAAAACAGAGAUCCCUUACUCCAGCAAUAGUAGUAUAGUGCAAUCCGUGUAACAGCGGAUACAGAAAUUCUUUUGAAUAUAUUUAAAAUCCAACUUAGCAGAAGCUUUAUACCAUUAAUCAAUAAACCAACAAGAAUGAGCUAUAAAAUUGCUUACCGUAUCAAAUAUCAAUUCGGCAGAAUUGGAUUGCAUAACUACUACAAUCUAACAUAUCAAAAUAAAUUGAGAAAAUAAAUGAAAUAAGUACCUUAAUAUGUCACGGAUAUGCUGUCAAUUUCGUGGAAGGUAAUCACAACGACGGAGGAAUAGCGGGCACAAACAAAGGCCCUCAAAUUGUUGAUCGUGCCUGU
This 2406-nucleotide long non-coding RNA is filed under the name Nicotiana benthamiana. RNAcentral describes it as "long non-coding RNA (NBEN_LNC003871)". The record is from RNAcentral. Lineage: Eukaryota; Viridiplantae; Streptophyta; Magnoliopsida; Solanales; Solanaceae.